GACGAACGCUGGCGGCGUGCUUAACACAUGCAAGUCGAACGGAAAGGCCCUGCUUUUGUGGGGUGCUCGAGUGGCGAACGGGUGAGUAACACGUGAGUAACCUGCCCUUGACUUUGGGAUAACUUCAGGAAACUGGGGCUAAUACCGGAUAGGAGCUCCUGCUGCAUGGUGGGGGUUGGAAAGUUUCGGCGGUUGGGGAUGGACUCGCGGCUUAUCAGCUUGUUGGUGGGGUAGUGGCUUACCAAGGCUUUGACGGGUAGCCGGGCUGAGAGGGUGAGCGGCCACAUUGGGACUGAGAUAAGGCACAGACUCCUACGGGAGGCAGCAGUGCGGUAUAUUGCACUAUGGGCUGAAGGCUGAUGCAGUAACGCCGCGUGCGGGAUGACGGCCUUCGGGUUGUAUUCCGCUUUCGCCUGUGACGAAGCGUGAGUGACGGUAAUGGGUAAAGAAGCACCGGCUAACUACGUG
This 468-nucleotide ribosomal RNA is filed under the name uncultured bacterium. RNAcentral's name for it is "partial 16S ribosomal RNA". It matches the Rfam family "Bacterial small subunit ribosomal RNA", at positions 28 to 507 of the family's 1533-position model. The record is from RNAcentral.